Molecule: long non-coding RNA, 1053 nt
Organism: Lineus longissimus
Lineage: Eukaryota; Metazoa; Nemertea; Pilidiophora; Heteronemertea; Lineidae
Exons: 3
Source: RefSeq, a predicted model, not a curated record
GGGGUUACUUCCGUCCUUUCGAGGUCAAGGUCGUGUUGUGUGAAUUUUCUUCGAGAAUUCCUUCCUUUUGAUUGCUAAUUACUCCAUAUUAUGAUGUAUCGGUGACAAAUAACUGUCGACUACCGAUUAGUCCAAUACUGGUUAUCCAAUCUGAAACAACGCCAUCAUGUCAGCCACACGUCCAUUACUGUUAUCAGCUCAACUAUCCAGGAGUAUGCCUGCUAAAGUGAAUGCUCUAAAAUCUUUCAGCCAGUCGUCAGUUCAUGAACCACCCUGCAAGUCUAUGUUCAACAAAACCCUGAUCUUCUUAUCCAUCGCCGGCAUUGGGAUGUCCGCUUUCAGCACACGGCAAUUAACACUGUGUGAUAAAACAAAGACUGCAGCAAUAAAACCAACCAAAAGUUGAUGUUGCUUACAGGAACUUAGUAAAACAGAACAAAACUCUGAUUUUCGAAUGCAUACAUCUUAACCCCUGGGCACUAAAGGCAAUUUUGAACUCUUGACAGGACUAGUAUUGUUUUGUUUUUGGUCAAGUUGCCUUUAUUUUCUUUGGGUUGAGAUGGCACUGAUAUGAUGAAGCCGAAGAAAAAGUGUUCAGAGACAUUGCUUGAGUGCGUCAAUGAUAUGUAGUACACCAAAAGUGUCCCAGGUGGCAGCACUGUAUGGGACAACUGUCUGAAAAUGGCAACACUGGAUAUUCCAACACAUCUUAUGCCUGUAGAUAAGCUGUGCAGUAUUUCUAUAAAAUUGUAGGGUGUAUCUUUGACCAUUAUUUCUUGAUUCCUAAUGCGAGUUGCAGUCGGUUUAGUAUCAAAGCAUUUGAUCAGAUUUGAGAAAUAUUUUUCAACCACUUCAUGAAGUUAUCAUUAAAACAAAUUCAGUAACUUGCAAAGGAAAGUAUGAAUUAAAAUUCUGGGUUUGAUGAUGGUUAAGUAUUUUGGAUAACUGGUUUAUUCAAUCAAGCGGGCAAUUGCGUGCGAAAUUGAAAAAUUCCUGUAAAGUUUAUUUCUUUUUUGUGAAUAAAAAAUACGUUAGUUAUAUUAUCGUCAUCAA